UUGACCCGGAAAACCACUAUGAUACCUAAACUAAAUAAACCACUAUGAUUACCUACCAUAAAAUGUGGGUAUGAUGAAGCCAAACCCCUCCCGCUCAAACUCCCGUACACCGCACCGCAUGCGCCGUUAAGUGGGUUAGGUUAGGUUUGAACUGCGAUCCUCACAGAACCGAACAAAAGUGGGUUAGGUUUGGUUAGAACUGCGAGUCUUACAGAAACGAAAUGCUACUAGAAAAGUGGGUUUGAUUAGGUUCGAACUGCGAUCCUCACAGAACCGAACUGCUAUCAGAGAAGUGGGUUAGGUUAGGCUAGAUAACUACGACCCUUACGGAAACGAAAUGCUACUAGAAAGUAGGCACUGGUUUUACUUCCUUUUCUACAUAGUGCACCAUCUACCACCUUCUUUCAAUCUUUCACCGGGCCCCAUAGAAGUCGGUUUUUUUUUCUUAAAAAUUAUUUGGUCUUGAAUUACGUUUUGCAGUAUAGAGAAAACGGUACCAAAGAUACCUAUAAAGGCCUAUGCGAUUAACGGUACUGAAACUUCCUGCAUAUUAUCAUUUUAAUAACUAAAUGUGAAGUAGAAUAAUAGUGAAACAAUCCUGCCGGCCUAGCCAAGGUUACAAUCGCUAUCGCUUCGACAACGAAAACUUUGUCUCUCUAUCACACUUCCAUAUUAGUGCGACAGUGACAGUUGCGUUUCGAUCGCUACGGAGCGUAAGCGAUCGGCAUCUUGGCUACGCGGCCUGAUCGAAAAGCGUUUAUUACAUCUAACCAAACGCUGGGUACUUUUUAUAUUGUAGGGAGGCCGACCUGGGGGGCUACCGCGAAAACCGAAUUUCGAAAAUUGCGGCGAUGUUACUCUUUUACUCCAAUGAAGGCGUAAUAAGUGUGACAGAGAAAAUUGCCCGCAAUGUGCGAACUUCGAUUUUCGCGGUUAUGCCCUGCUUUAGUACAAAAUAUGCCCGGCGACCAUGUGAAUGUGAUAAACGCUUAACCCCAAGUUAUUUAAAGGGCACAAUCAGCAGGGAAUUUGUCCAUUAAAAUAUCUAUUUAAAUUUAAUAUUAAUAUUGUUAGUUUAGUCGCAUAUUACGCUAUACACAUCACACCAUUAUAUUUUAUAGGAACAAAACUAUAUUUAUUGGCUUGUAAUAUUUGAACAUGAAUUCCACUUUGAUGUUGUUCAAACGACUUUGAGGUAAGAUAAACGUCACUUUGAUUUUGAGGUAAUAAUGUUUACCCAGUUUACCUCAAGAUUAACUGAAAAUGGUGAAAGCAUGAACUUUACAAACUACUUACGGGUAUAUCCUCUAGCCGCCCAGAGGGCUGUAAAAAGGUCUCAUGCUCCAUUCUAAUUUGAACUUUAUGUCGAAUGAAUCAAAGUUUCAUUUUGCUUGGCAAGGUUUGACGUAUGGGCGGCUAGAGGAUAUAAAUAUUCUGUAUCGAUACACAACUAGACAACAAAUUUUACAAGUGAAUAUAUAUGUUAUAAUAAAACUGGUGUACAAAUAUUUCAAGCCAUAGUAAUAUGUACUUCACUCGCGUAAGUAGAUUACGUACGUAGAUUUUAUAUGUUAAAUUAAGUUGCAAAUAUCCUACUAUUGCUAUAAGAUUGUAUGUCCACGUGUCGGGUUGUCUAUCUCGCGGGCGACAUACUGUCACGGUGUCGCGGCGCUCCUGUGCUGGUCGAGAAACUUUCAUGUAUAUCAUUACACUAAAAGAUGGUCUCUUAAUCCUACUACGGCUUAAGUAUGAAACAGUUUUAAAUGAAAUUUUGCUUUUAGCUUUCAAGUACCCACUUUAAUAAUGAUAGACUUGGCGCGUGGACCCUACCGAAGAGUUACUAUUUCAAGUUUCUUUCCCUUGGCUGUGAUAAGUUUUCUACUAUAUACAAAAUGCUUCUUAAUGGCUACUUUCAUAGAUAGUACUUUCAAUUUUAAAUUGUAAUAGACAGACCAGGAAUCUACGCUGUUACGGCAAAACAGCGUAUCUUAUUAUAUAGCAGAGUUCGGACAAUUCAUCGCAAAAAUAAAUAUUGUAUAGAACAUGAUACAAUUUUUGUAACAAUUAUAAACUGCAGUUUUUGAGUAUAAUCUGGAAAUUUUAUAAAGAUACUGUGUACAUAAUAUGAGUUAUACGAUCAUAAUGUAAAUUCAUAAACUAAACUAAACUAAUAAAUCUUGUCCUAUUUGAAGAUAUAAAUGAUUUUUGAUGGUUUUGCGAUGACUUGUCCGAUCACUGCUUAUUUGUAUUACUGAUAUUACUUAUUUCCUAUACAUUGUUUUGGCGUAACAGAACAGGAAUAAAUAUGUUGAGCAUCAAGACCUGGUAAUUUUAAAAUGAAGAAAUCUUUCGACGAAUACAAUUCAGUGAAACAUUUGGUAAAUUAAAAGCUCAACAUUUUUAUUGGACGAUUUAUUUCGAAGAAAAUUGUGAAUUCGAAAUAGAUUUUAUACAUUACUAAACAAAUCUAGGACCAGUGUCGUCGGGUGACAAGCAAAAGUCACUAAGUACUAUCAAAAAAUUAAAGUAACAAUGCACUUUAUUACACUUGUAACACGGUUUAUUGUCCAAUAAUUUAAAUGGUGUUAGUUAGUGACUUUUGCUUGUCACCCGACGAAAUCCAAACUUUUCUUCGAAAAAAUCUUUUCUGGCAAACGAUUUAUAUUAAAACUUGGAAUUGACAAUUUUGUUGACAGCUAUUAAUAAUUAGUCAUUUUGUAUUUUUCGGUAUGAGAUGCAUUUUCAUAAUAAAAGCUAGAACCAUAUAUUAUGUAUGUACCUAAACAAAAAGGUUAACUUCAAAGAUUCAUAUAAUUGUUACAUGGCUGGUAGCGACUGUACAUACAAUAAAACAAGAUAUAAAAGCUGUAACAUAUCUCUGACGUCAACUGUAUUGAAUCAACAUCACUCGAGAAUAAAUCGAGAUAACUUUCACUUUGAGGUAACUCCUUGAGUUAAAGUUGAGGUAAUCCCAAUUUAACCUCAAAAUUAUAAUUUAAGUAAGUAUUGCACCGUUAUACUAAUUGUAAAAUAAGCUUUAUAAAAUGAGUACGCAACUUUUGCCUAAUAUUGCGAAUUUUUAUAGACAUGUACGGUGGUGGUACUGGUGCUCGACGCGGUCCCAGUACAUGUCAUCUUGAAACUAGUAUAAUUGUCAAUAGAGGUGACAGCACGGUGUCAUCUAUUGGGCAUUAGCAUGUCGAGCACUAGUACCACCACCUUAUGGAUAUUUAUUUUAUACCGAUUGUCGAUACUGCCCAUGAUUUCGAGCAAUAAAAUAGAUAUAAAUAAUAA
Molecule: long non-coding RNA, 3294 nt
Organism: Cydia fagiglandana
Lineage: Eukaryota; Metazoa; Arthropoda; Insecta; Lepidoptera; Tortricidae
Exons: 2
Source: RefSeq, a predicted model, not a curated record